Molecule: ribosomal RNA, 479 nt
Filed under: Blastocystis sp.
Lineage: Eukaryota; Bigyra; Opalinata; Blastocystidae
Description: SSU rRNA
Rfam family: Eukaryotic small subunit ribosomal RNA
Source: RNAcentral
GGAGGUAGUGACAAUAAAUCACAAUGCGGGACUGUUAGUCUUGCAAUUGGAUUGAGAACAACGUACAACUCUUAUCGAUAAGCCAUUGGAGGGCAAGUCUGGUGCCAGCAGCCGCGGUAAUUCCAGCUCCAAUAGCGUAUAUUAACGUUGUUGCAGUUAAAAAGCUCGUAGUUGAAGUGAGGGAGUGUGUAGUAGGACCGACUUGAUCGGAACUGCUGCAACCUCCCCCUUCCAAUCGGUGUAGUGGGGUAUUCAGUUAUUCUACUACUCCUUUGGUCGUUUACUGUGAGAAAAUUAGAGUGUUCAAAGCGGGCGUUUGUUUGAAUAGAUUAGCAUGGAAUAAUGAUUGAAGGCUUUCGUGUUCGAUUUGAUUGGUUUGUUCAUGGAAGCAAGGUUAAAAGGAACAGUUGGGGGUAUUCAUAUUCACUAGUUAGAGGUGAAAUUCUCGGAUUUAUGGAAGAUGAACAAGUGCGAAAGCA